GGCUGCUUCAGUGCUGGGUCAUCUUCAGGAGGUUGCUGUCCAAAGAUCAUCUCGCAGCUCAUGUCUUCAAAAUCUGAACAGUAAUAAUGUGAUUGGUGGAUCAACAGAAUCACUAGCAUCCCUUUUCUGAAUCGAAGCAUUACAUAUUUACAUGGAGCAAGAACGUCUUAACAAGAGAAAAGCUGUGCAUAUACCUCACACGGUCCAACAAGCCAAGGGAAGAAUAUCGUGGUGAAGGCAGCAAAGUACUCCCUGGAAAAUUUUGAAGGCGGCAUCAUCACCUUUAUCUGCCCAAAUAAAAUUCUCUCAACGCAAAUCCAGUGAAGUGUACUUGCCAUUGUGACGAUAUAACUUGGCAUUGCUUGUUCGAGAGCUUUGGCCACAAUCCCGCCCUGUGUUUCAAGCCUGAAGACUCUGGAGAUUGCCACAGCAGCCUCUAUCAAGCCCUCGUAGCCAGGCUUUGCAUUCUUUAACCCUGUAGUGCAUAAAUGAAUACAUGUAAAGGUAAGUAAAUCGGCAAGUUCCUUAGUUUGGACCUCAACAUC
This is a long non-coding RNA of Lolium rigidum, 545 nucleotides long. RefSeq lists it as uncharacterized. NCBI's taxonomy places the organism in Eukaryota, Viridiplantae, Streptophyta, Magnoliopsida, Poales, Poaceae. The record is from RefSeq and is a predicted model, not a curated record. The transcript has 3 exons.